GAUGAGGUGGCCGAGUGGUUAAGGCGAUGGACUGGUAAUCAAUUGUGCGAUGCACGCAAGGGUUCGAAUCCCAUUCUAAUCU
Non-coding RNA from Salvelinus fontinalis (brook trout), 82 nucleotides. Lineage: Eukaryota; Metazoa; Chordata; Actinopteri; Salmoniformes; Salmonidae. The record is from the annotation of a RefSeq genome assembly.